RNAcentral lists this ribosomal RNA (486 nucleotides) under uncultured bacterium. RNAcentral describes it as "partial 16S ribosomal RNA". It matches the Rfam family "Bacterial small subunit ribosomal RNA", at positions 30 to 507 of the family's 1533-position model. The record is from RNAcentral.
AUUGAACGCUGGCGGCAUGCCUUACACAUGCAAGUCGAACGGCAGCACGGGUGCUUGCACCUGGUGGCGAGUGGCGAACGGGUGAGUAAUACAUCGGAACAUGUCCUGUAGUGGGGGAUAGCCCGGCGAAAGCCGGAUUAAUACCGCAUACGAUCUACGGAUGAAAGCGGGGGACCUUCGGGCCUCGCGCUAUAGGGUUGGCCGAUGGCUGAUUAGCUAGUUGGUGGGGUAAAGGCCUACCAAGGCGACGAUCAGUAGCUGGUCUGAGAGGACGACCAGCCACACUGGGACUGAGACACGGCCCAGACUCCUACGGGAGGCAGCAGUGGGGAAUUUUGGACAAUGGGCGAAAGCCUGAUCCAGCAAUGCCGCGUGUGUGAAGGAGGCCUUCGGGUUGUAAAGCACUUUUGUCCGGAAAGAAAUCCUUGGCUCUAAUACAGUCGGGGGAUGACGGUACCGGAAGAAUAAGCACCGGCUAACUACGUG